AUGCCCGUCAUCUCCCCCCUUCCUUUCUCGCUCGCGCCAACGCCGGCUGCUCCCGCGGCGUCGCGGGCUCGCUGGAACAGCUUCCUGCACCACUGGCGUUUGCGAGUUGAAACAAAAGCAGGUAUGUGCAGCAACGGUUUUGAUUCAACUAACUGCCUUCGUAUGGAGGAGGUUGAGCCAAAUUUAUCCCCAUUUCUCCACAAGCUUUUUAAAGAGUGGGAUGACCGCAAUGCGAGGGGCUUGUUUCACCACGACAUCACUACGUCUGAGGCCAAGGUGCUACCUGGAGAACACAAUUUUGUGGCAACAUUGAUAGAAGGGCGUGACCAGAAGAAGCGGCCAACUGAAUUUGGAAUGAACCAGGUCCUCCAACCAUUUCAUAGUGAGAAGUUCAAUUUCACUAAAGUUAAACCAGAGGAGGUGAUCUUCAGGUUCCAAGAAACUGAGAAUGAUUCUGCCCAGUAUUUUGACGGAACUCCUCCCACUGUUUCAGCUUCUCCUAGCUGCAUUUUGAUCAACGUGAGCCCAAUCGGGUACUGUCAUGUGCUUUUGACCCCUCAAAUCCAGGAAUGCUUACCGCAAAGGGUUGAUCAAGAGAGCUUCUUACUGGCCAUGUAUGUCGCAAGGGAGGCAAGGAAUCCAUUCUUCAGAGUUGGCUAUAACAGUCUGGGUGCCUUUGCAACAAUCAAUCACCUCCAUUUCCAAGCAUACUAUCUGAAAGUGCAAUAUCCAGUCGAGAAUGCGCCGACAGAGAGAAUCACAGUCGUACGGAACGGCGUCAGCAUUUCUCAGCUGGUGCGGUACCCAGUAAGCGGCUUUGUAUUUGAAGGCGGAGCGAGCCUGGAGGAUCUGUCACAGGCCGUCUCAGAUGCAUGUAUCUUCUUGCAAGAGAAUAACAGACCUUUCAAUGUCCUUAUCUCUGAAUCUGGCAAGAGAGUAUUCCUUCUACUACAGUGCUACGCUGAGAAGCAGGCUUCCGGAAAGGCGAGCCAGGAGUUCCUCGACAUGAGAAUCAAUCCAGCGGUCUGGGAGCUCAGCGGGCAUUUGGUUUUGAAGAGGAGGAAGGACUACGACGAAGCAUCCGAGGCAACACUAUGCAGGUUUUUGGUUGAAGCGUCCCUGUCUGAAGCAGAGUUCCAGGAGCUGAAGAGGUGCCUCUUGGAGUUCCUGGCCACUGCAAGUCCUGAAAAGUAG
Molecule: ribosomal RNA, 1194 nt
Filed under: Triticum aestivum (bread wheat)
Lineage: Eukaryota; Viridiplantae; Streptophyta; Magnoliopsida; Poales; Poaceae
Description: partial small subunit ribosomal RNA
Source: RNAcentral